GGUUAAGCGACUAAGCGUACACGGUGGAUGCCCUGGCAGUCAGAGGCGAUGAAGGACGUGCUAAUCUGCGAAAAGCGUCGGUAAGGUGAUAUGAACCGUUAUAGCCGGCGAUGUCCGAAUGGGGAAACCCAGUGCAAUUCGUUGCACUAUCGUUAACUGAAUACAUAGGUUAACGAGGCGAACCGGGGGAACUGAAACAUCUAAGUACCCCGAGGAAAAGAAAUCAACCGAGAUUCCCCCAGUAGCGGCGAGCGAACGGGGAGCAGCCCAGAGUCUGAAUCAGCUUGUGUGUUAGUGGAACGGUCUGGAAAGUCCGACGGUACAGGGUGAUAGUCCCGUACACCAAAAUGCACAGGCUGUGAACUCGAAGAGUAGGGCGGGACACGUGGUAUCCUGUCUGAAUAUGGGGGGACCAUCCUCCAAGGCUAAAUACUCCUGACUGACCGAUAGUGAACCAGUACCGUGAGGGAAAGGCGAAAAGAACCCCGGCGAGGGGAGUGAAAAAGAACCUGAAACCGUGUACGUACAAGCAGUGGGAGCACCUUCGGGUGUGACUGCGUACCUUUUGUAUAAUGGGUCAGCGACUUAUAUUCUGUAGCAAGGUUAACCGUAUAGGGGAGCCGCAGGGAAACCGAGUCUUAACUGGGCGUUAAGUUGCAGGGUAUAGACCCGAAACCCGGUGAUCUAGCCAUGGGCAGGUUGAAGGUUGGGUAACACUAACUGGAGGACCGAACCGACUAAUGUUGAAAAAUUAGCGGAUGACUUGUGGCUGGGGGUGAAAGGCCAAUCAAACCGGGAGAUAGCUGGUUCUCCCCGAAAGCUAUUUAGGUAGCGCCUCGUGAACUCAUCUUCGGGGGUAGAGCACUGUUUCGGCUAGGGGGUCAUCCCGACUUACCAACCCGAUGCAAACUACGAAUACCGAAGAAUGUUAUCACGGGAGACACACGGCGGGUGCUAACGUCCGUCGUGAAGAGGGAAACAACCCAGACCGCCAGCUAAGGUCCCAAAGUCAUGGUUAAGUGGGAAACGAUGUGGGAAGGCACAGACAGCCAGGAUGUUGGCUUAGAAGCAGCCAUCAUUUAAAGAAAGCGUAAUAGCUCACUGGUCGAGUCGGCCUGCGCGGAAGAUGUAACGGGGCUAAACCAUGCACCGAAGCUGCGGCAGCGACACUAUGUGUUGUUGGGUAGGGGAGCGUUCUGUAAGCCUGCGAAGGUGACCUGUGAGGGUUGCUGGAGGUAUCAGAAGUGCGAAUGCUGACAUAAGUAACGAUAAAGCGGGUGAAAAGCCCGCUCGCCGGAAGACCAAGGGUUCCUGUCCAACGUUAAUCGGGGCAGGGUGAGUCGACCCCUAAGGCGAGGCCGAAAGGCGUAGUCGAUGGGAAACAGGUUAAUAUUCCUGUACUUGGUGUUACUGCGAAGGGGGGACGGAGAAGGCUAUGUUAGCCGGGCGACGGUUGUCCCGGUUUAAGCAUGUAGGCUGGUUAUCCAGGCAAAUCCGGAUAAUCAAGGCUGAGGUGUGAUGACGAGGCACUACGGUGCUGAAGUAACAAAUGCCCUGCUUCCAGGAAAAGCCUCUAAGCAUCAGGUAACAUCAAAUCGUACCCCAAACCGACACAGGUGGUCAGGUAGAGAAUACCAAGGCGCUUGAGAGAACUCGGGUGAAGGAACUAGGCAAAAUGGUGCCGUAACUUCGGGAGAAGGCACGCUGGUGUGUAGGUGAAGCCCCUGCGGGUGGAGCUGAGACCAGUCGAAGAUACCAGCUGGCUGCAACUGUUUAUUAAAAACACAGCACUGUGCAAACACGAAAGUGGACGUAUACGGUGUGACGCCUGCCCGGUGCCGGAAGGUUAAUUGAUGGGGUUAUCCGUAAGGAGAAGCUCUUGAUCGAAGCCCCGGUAAACGGCGGCCGUAACUAUAACGGUCCUAAGGUAGCGAAAUUCCUUGUCGGGUAAGUUCCGACCUGCACGAAUGGCGUAAUGAUGGCCAGGCUGUCUCCACCCGAGACUCAGUGAAAUUGAACUCGCUGUGAAGAUGCAGUGUACCCGCGGCAAGACGGAAAGACCCCGUGAACCUUUACUAUAGCUUGACACUGAACAUUGAGCCUUGAUGUGUAGGAUAGGUGGGAGGCUUUGAAGCGUGGACGCCAGUCUGCGUGGAGCCAACCUUGAAAUACCACCCUUUAAUGUUUGAUGUUCUAACGUUGGCCCCUUACCGGGGUUGCGGACAGUGUCUGGUGGGUAGUUUGACUGGGGCGGUCUCCUCCCAAAGCGUAACGGAGGAGCACGAAGGUUAGCUAAUCCUGGUCGGACAUCAGGAGGUUAGUGCAAUGGCAUAAGCUAGCUUGACUGCGAGCGUGACGGCGCGAGCAGGUGCGAAAGCAGGUCAUAGUGAUCCGGUGGUUCUGAAUGGAAGGGCCAUCGCUCAACGGAUAAAAGGUACUCCGGGGAUAACAGGCUGAUACCGCCCAAGAGUUCAUAUCGACGGCGGUGUUUGGCACCUCGAUGUCGGCUCAUCACAUCCUGGGGCUGAAGUAGGUCCCAAGGGUAUGGCUGUUCGCCAUUUAAAGUGGUACGCGAGCUGGGUUUAGAACGUCGUGAGACAGUUCGGUCCCUAUCUGCCGUGGGCGCUGGAGAAUUGAGGGGGGCUGCUCCUAGUACGAGAGGACCGGAGUGGACGCAUCACUGGUGUUCGGGUUGUCAUGCCAAUGGCACUGCCCGGUAGCUAAAUGCGGAAGAGAUAAGUGCUGAAAGCAUCUAAGCACGAAACUUGCCCCGAGAUGAGUUCUCCCUGAGACUUUAAGUCUCCUGAAGGAACGUUAAAGACGAUGACGUUGAUAGGCCGGGUGUGUAAGCGCAGCGAUGCGUUGAGCUAACCGGUACUAAUGAACCGUGAGGCUUAACCUU
RNAcentral lists this ribosomal RNA (2902 nucleotides) under Klebsiella pneumoniae. RNAcentral's name for it is "23S ribosomal RNA". It matches the Rfam family "Bacterial large subunit ribosomal RNA". The record is from RNAcentral. RNAcentral also lists the same sequence under 1 other name. Lineage: Bacteria; Pseudomonadati; Pseudomonadota; Gammaproteobacteria; Enterobacterales; Enterobacteriaceae.